This 484-nucleotide ribosomal RNA is filed under the name uncultured bacterium. Its description in RNAcentral is "partial 16S ribosomal RNA". It matches the Rfam family "Bacterial small subunit ribosomal RNA", at positions 28 to 523 of the family's 1533-position model. The record is from RNAcentral.
GACGAACGCUGGCGGCGUGCUUAACACAUGCAAGUCGAACGAUGAUGCCCAGCUUGCUGGGUGGAUUAGUGGCGAACGGGUGAGUAACACGUGAGUAACCUGCCCCUGACUCUGGGAUAAGCGUUGGAAACGACGUCUAAUACUGGAUAUGACUGCCGGCCGCAUGGUCUGGUGGUGGAAAGAUUUUUUUGGUUGGGGAUGGACUCGCGGCCUAUCAGCUUGUUGGUGAGGUAAUGGCUCACCAAGGCGACGACGGGUAGCCGGCCUGAGAGGGUGACCGGCCACACUGGGACUGAGACACGGCCCAGACUCCUACGGGAGGCAGCAGUGGGGAAUAUUGCACAAUGGGCGAAAGCCUGAUGCAGCAACGCCGCGUGAGGGAUGACGGCCUUCGGGUUGUAAACCUCUUUUAGUAGGGAAGAAGCGAAAGUGACGGUACCUGCAGAAAAAGCACCGGCUAACUACGUGCCAGCCGCCGCGGUAA